AAUAGGCUUGGUCCUGGCCUUUCUAUUAGCUCUUAGCAGGAUUACACAUGCAAGCAUCCCCGCUCCAGUGAAGACGCCCUACAAAUCAUCAUGACCAAGAGGAGCAAGCAUCAAGCACGCACACGCAGCUCAAAACGCUUUGCCUAGCCACACCCCCACGGGAGACAGCAGUGACAAAUAUUUAGCAAUAAACGAAAGUUCAACUAAGCCAUGCUAUAUUUAGGGUUGGUCAAUUUCGUGCCAGCCACCGCGGUUACACGAUUAACCCCAGCUAAUAGGGAUCGGCGUAGAGGGUGUUUAAGAUCUAACAUAAUAAAGCUAAACUCCACCUAAACUGUAAAACCCUAGCUAAUGUAAAAUAAACUACGAAAGUGGCUUUAAAGCUUCUGAACACACAAUAGCCAAGACCCAAACUGGGAUUAGACACCCCACUAUGCUUGGCCCUAAACCUCAGUAAUUAGAUAACAAAACUACUCGCCAGAAUACUACAAGCAACAGCUUGAAACUCAAAGGACUUGACGGUGCUUUACAUCCCCCUAGAGGAGCCUGUUCCGUAAUCGAUAAACCCCGAUCCACCCUACCCUCUCUUGCUCAGCCUAUAUACCGCCAUCUUCAGCAAACCCUAAUGAAGGCCACAAAGUGAGCGCAAACGCCACCGCCGCGAAUACGUUAGGUCAAGGUGUAGCCCAUGAGACGGUAAAAAAUGGGCUACAUUUUCUAUUUCAGAAAACCCACGAAAACCCUUAUGAAACUUAAGGGUCCAAGGAGGAUUUAGCAGUAAAUUAAGAAUAGAGUGCUUAAUUGAACCAGGCCAUAAAGCGCGCACACACCGCCCGUCACUCCUCUCAAAUAUAUUUAAGGAAUAUCCUAACUAAACGCCCUAAUAUUUAUAUAGAGAGGAUAAGUCGUAACAUGGUAAGCGUACUGGAAGGUGCGCUUGGAUAAAU
This 947-nucleotide non-coding RNA is filed under the name Macaca fascicularis (crab-eating macaque). Its description in RNAcentral is "12S ribosomal RNA". It matches the Rfam family "Bacterial small subunit ribosomal RNA". Lineage: Eukaryota; Metazoa; Chordata; Mammalia; Primates; Cercopithecidae. The record is from RNAcentral.